GGGAGUCGCUUCGUUCGCGUUCCUGGUCCGCUUCGAGGACUCCGCCGCCUCUCCCCGGGAUUCUCGCGACCGAGCCGAAGAGGGACGCGUCGAGCAUGCGCGGAGACCGGGGCGCCCGGGCGAAGUGGACCCGCGGCUGCCGGCCGCGUCGAUAACGGGGCAUGCGCGCUGCGAGGGACGUCCCGGAGCGUGCUGAUCCCUCGCGGGCGGCGCGGCCGCGGCCACGCUGGCCGCUUGACAGCUGUCAGUCGGCGAGGUGACAGCUGCCAAGAAGUGACCGGCCCACCCCCCACCAGCACAGUGACGCCAAUCACAGUGUAGUGCGCGGGUUUGCCCCACUAAAAAUAACUCCAAGUGCUCCGUCGCUGUCAACUUGACAGCCUCUGUCCCCCGCUGUCAAAGUUACCCAUAGCGGUCCGUGAAUCGGUGCCCCCCAGGAGGCAUGCCUGGCGAGGGGGACGCUCCAUUACGCGCCCUCCUAGGCAAGCCUCUUGACAGCUGUCAACUCGCGAGGUGACAGAUGCCAACAGCUGCUCCGAAGCGCCGAUCAUUUGGACACUCGAGAAGAGGUCCACUUGCUGCGUCUUCGGGGAGUUUCGCGACGAGGGAGGAGAAUCUCUACCCUGGGCGGGCCAGAAGGAGACGGAGACUGUCCGGGAGGCCGCAGUCGUGGAUUUCGAUGUCCUGGGCACGAUGGCAGGGGGGGCGCUGUCGGACGAUGCCCCGAGGCCCGUCAGCAUAGUGCAGGUCGACGGCGCCGUCGUCCUCGAGGACUGCCAAGAUGGCGGCCAGGGGAACCAAGAUGGCCGCCAGGCCGAGGGCAACCAAGGUAGCCGCGGUGCGCGCGCAGAGGGCAACCAAGGUGGCCGCCAGACGCGCUCCUUCGCCUCGGCGGAGGCCCAGACCGAGGCGCCGACCACGCCGCCUACCGUCGACCCCGAGGAGGCGCGCACCGCCAGGAGGCGCGACCGCAGACCACGCAGACACCAUAGACGCGCCCUGAGGAGCUGCUCCGUGCCCCCGACCUACUUCGGAGGGGCCUGCGUGGGCGGCGGCGCCCCUGCCGUCCCCCUCGUCCCUCCGGUCGGCGGCUUCCUGCACCCCCCGCCGCCCCACCUCGGACUCAGGGGACUCAGCCUGGGACUGCCCUUUCCUGUGCCCGCCAGCGUCUCCGCCUUCGGCAGGGACGCAGUGCCGAAGCAGUGCUGCGGCCUGGGGUCGCCACCGGUACGCUGGUCCAUCCUUGGGGUCGGCAUCGGGGGCCUCGUCUGUGCAGGGGCCGGCGCCCUCCUCGGCGCCCUCAGGGCGACCGGCAGGGACCACAUCGCUGUCGCCCUCCUCAUGAUCGGUAUCGGCGUGGUCUUGGUGACGGUGAGCGCCGUGGCAUGGCGAGUAACCAGCAGGGAGAAUUGCGGCUUCUUCGGCUUAACUGGGAUCUCCACCAGGAUACCUCCUGCCAGACCCAUGCACCCAUACGCCGCCAUGAUUUACCCGGAGUUCCAGUUCAGGACGCCGCCGCCUAGUUACCAGGCCAGCAUGCAGGAGUACAGGCUGAGGCUGCUGCUGCUGGACCGACUGCAGCCGACCUCAUCGCCGCCGCCGACGUACAGGUCGAAUGCAGGGAGCGUUGUGGCUCCGGGGACGACGAGGGAAAGUAGACCUCCAAGUUAUUGCGGCAGGACCAACGUUGCUCCCUGUGCGGGAUUGGCGCCUUCGAAGAAGGACGCGAACCUCGUGCGAAUCGUACAGACCGAGUCCGAGCCCGUUAUUCUGAACGGGAACCAAACUCCUCCCGUGACCGUGGUCGAGGUGCUCGCCCACCUCUAGCCGCGUACGGGGAAACGCGUGUUCCGGAGAUGCCGGUGGUGGUACCUGUCGGCUCGUCGUGAUUGGCUGCCGAGCGAUGCGCAGAAACCUGCGCGAGAAGAAGAGGAUGCGCGAGUGCGCCUUGUCUUCCGCCAUAUUUGUACUGACUCGCGACUUAAGAGGUUAUGCGAGAUGCAGUUGUUGAACGUUUAUUUAUUGCAAACGGUGAAUUGUUUGGCGAGAUGCGACCGGAGACAAGAAUUGCGCAGUUCUGACCACAACCACAGGAUCCUUUUGUACCUUUCUAGGUUAUGUCGAUCUUCGAUGUUAACCUUGAAAUACGACCGGAACCGGCUGUCAAAGGACCGAUGAACUCUCGAAAUUUUCUCGCUUUCUGCGUGAGAAUGUGACUGUUCGAAGAAUUUCAAUGUGUUGAAAAUUAUUGGGACUGUGAGGUUAUGUAUAGACUGCGCAGAUAUUAAGCAUUGAUGUACAAGUACUGGUAUUUUUGUAAGCUGAGGGCCAACGUCUUGGUAUUGGCUCGCAGUCCUGCUGACUGCGAGUGGUAAUAAUACUUCCGAACGUGCUCCACGUGUGAAACCAAACUCGCAAUGAUUCGUGAUUAGACACGUAGUUCCUUAAUACGGUAGAAGAAAACUUGUAUAAUGAGAAUUAAUAAAGUAUAUUUAUCUGAUUA
RNAcentral lists this unclassified non-coding RNA (2503 nucleotides) under Orussus abietinus. RNAcentral describes it as "uncharacterized LOC105695184, transcript variant X1". Lineage: Eukaryota; Metazoa; Arthropoda; Insecta; Hymenoptera; Orussidae. The record is from RNAcentral.